GAGACCGGCGCACGGGUGCGUAACGCGUUAUGCAAUCUACCUUUUACAGAGGGAUAGCCCAGAGAAAUUUGGAUUAAUACCUCAUAGUAUGUGAGAAUCGCAUGGUUUUCACAUUAAAGUUCCAACGGUAAAAGAUGAGCAUGCGUCCCAUUAGCUAGAUGGUAAGGUAACGGCUUACCAUGGCGACGAUGGGUAGGGGUCCUGAGAGGGAGAUCCCCCACACUGGUACUGAGACACGGACCAGACUCCUACGGGAGGCAGCAGUGAGGAAUAUUGGACAAUGGGCGCAAGCCUGAUCCAGCCAUGCCGCGUGCAGGAUGACGGUCCUAUGGAUUGUAAACUGCUUUUGUACAGGAAGAAAUACUCCCUCGUGAGGGAGCUUGACGGUACUGUAAGAAUAAGGAUCGGCUAACUCCGUGCCAGCAGCCGCGGUAAUACGGAGGAUCCAAGCGUUAUCCGGAAUCAUUGGGUUUAAAGGGUCCGUAGGCGGUUUAAUAAGUCAGUGGUGAAAGCCCAUCGCUCAACGGUGGAACGGCCAUUGAUACUGUUAAACUUGAAUUAUUAGGAAGUAACUAGAAUAUGUAGUGUAGCGGUGAAAUGCUUAGAGAUUACAUGGAAUACCAAUUGCGAAGGCAGGUUACUACUAAUGGAUUGACGCUGAUGGACGAAAGCGUGGGUAGCGAACAGGAUUAGAUACCCUGGUAGUCCACGCCGUAAACGAUGGAUACUAGCUGUUGGGCGCAAGUUCAGUGGCUAAGCGAAAGUGAUAAGUAUCCCACCUG
This 782-nucleotide ribosomal RNA is filed under the name uncultured Bacteroidota bacterium. Its description in RNAcentral is "bacterial SSU rRNA". It matches the Rfam family "Bacterial small subunit ribosomal RNA", at positions 91 to 875 of the family's 1533-position model. Lineage: Bacteria; Pseudomonadati; Bacteroidota. The record is from RNAcentral.